RNAcentral lists this ribosomal RNA (383 nucleotides) under uncultured eukaryote. RNAcentral's name for it is "partial 18S ribosomal RNA". It matches the Rfam family "Eukaryotic small subunit ribosomal RNA", at positions 592 to 976 of the family's 1831-position model. The record is from RNAcentral.
CAAUAGCGUAUAUUAAAGUUGUUGCAGUUAAAAAGCUCGUAGUUGGAUUUCUGGUGGGAGCGAUCGGUCUGGCGCUUAGCGCGAGUACUUGCAUCGUCUCCGGCCAUCCUUGGGGAGAGUCUGUCUGGCAUUAAGUUGUCGGGCAGAGGAUCCUCAUCGUUUACUGUGAAACAAUUAGAGUGUUCAAAGCAGGCUUAUGCCGUUGAAUAUAUUAGCAUGGAAUAAUAAGAUAGGACUUUGGUACUAUUUUGUUGGUUUGCGCACCAAAGUAAUGAUUAAUAGGGACAGUUGGGGGUAUUCGUAUUCCGUUGUCAGAGGUGAAAUUCUUGGAUUUACGGAAGACGAACUACUGCGAAAGCAUUUACCAAGGAUGUUUUCAUUAA